GCACCGGAUCCCAUCAGAACUCCGAAGUUAAGCGUGCUUAGGCGAGAGUAGUACUAGGAUGGGUGACCUCCUGGGAAGUCCUCGUGUUGCAUCCCUC
RNAcentral lists this ribosomal RNA (97 nucleotides) under Oryza sativa Indica Group (long-grained rice). The record is from RNAcentral. Lineage: Eukaryota; Viridiplantae; Streptophyta; Magnoliopsida; Poales; Poaceae.